Molecule: small RNA, 98 nt
Filed under: Bison bison bison
Lineage: Eukaryota; Metazoa; Chordata; Mammalia; Artiodactyla; Bovidae
Description: 7SK RNA (ENSBBBG00000024879.1)
Source: RNAcentral
UUUAGUCAAGGGUAUACGAGCAGCUGUGCUCCCCUGCUAGAACCUCCAAACAAGCUCUCAGACAUUGAAGUUGCUUAUUUGUGUAUGAUGAGUGGGUU